Molecule: non-coding RNA, 127 nt
Organism: Aethina tumida (small hive beetle)
Lineage: Eukaryota; Metazoa; Arthropoda; Insecta; Coleoptera; Nitidulidae
Product: small Cajal body-specific RNA 8
Exons: 1
Source: RefSeq, a predicted model, not a curated record
UGGAGAUCCGAUACAGGUGUUGUAUUAGAGUUCUUACAACACUUCACAUUGUCUCCGAGAUAAUGGGCUUUCUGAUGACCGUAAUUGAAUAAGUUUUAGAUUGCGGACAGAUACGAAGCGUACAAAA